Molecule: non-coding RNA, 12726 nt
Organism: Oryctolagus cuniculus (rabbit)
Lineage: Eukaryota; Metazoa; Chordata; Mammalia; Lagomorpha; Leporidae
Source: RefSeq, a predicted model, not a curated record
AGACAAACUGUACGUCCGUUUGUCCGGACCGGAGGGGAGAGUGGGCGCCAUCUUCUUGGCUCACUGAGGGUUGUACUUGUUCUGUGGAGGCUGCCGCGACGAGGAGACCCCGGCCCCCGGCCUUGUGUGUCCGACUCGGCAGCAGUGCCUCCAUGUGGUGGUGUGUGUGCGCUUCCCAGCGAUCUUGAGAGAAGAUCUCGAAGGAUUUCAUAGUUAAGUUGCUUUUACAGAAUUAACAGGUCUCCAAGAAAAAAAAAUUUUUUAAAAAGGGUUACAGAAAGAGAGGAAGAGACAGAGAGAGAUCGUCCAUCCACUGGUUCCCUCCCUAAAUGGCUGUAAUGGCUGGGGCUGGGCCAGGUAUGUUUCUUCAGAAUCUCCCAAGUGGGUGCAGAGGCUGAAGCAGUUGGGCCAUCUUUCUAUUGCUUUCCCAGGAGCAUUAGCAUGGAGCUAGAUCAGAAGUGGAGUAGUUGGGUCUUGAACUAGCUCCCAUGUUGGAUGCUGGUUUCACAGAUGGUGGCUUUACCUAGUAUGCCACAAAACCAGCCCCUAAAUUUCUAUAUAUUUUUUAAAGAUGUAUUUAUUUAUUUGAAAGUCAGAGUUACAUGAGAGAGGAGAGGCGGAGAGAGAGAGGUCUUCCAUCUGAUGGUUCACUCCCCAGUUUGCUGCAAUGGCUGGAGCUGUGCAGAUCCAAAGCCAGGAGCUUCCUCUGGAUCUUCCCAUGCUAUUGCAGGGACCCAAGGAUUUGGGCCAUCUUCUACUGCUUUCCCAGGCCAUAGUGGAGAGCUGGGUCGGAAGUGGCGCAUCCGGGACUUGAACCCGUGCCAUAUGGGAUGCUGGCACUGCAGGUGGUGGCUUUAAGUGCUAUGCCACAGCACCAACAUUUCUAUAUGUUUUUAAUAGUAAAUAUUUUAGUAAUAGUAAAGAAACUAGUAAAUUCAUUUCAAUAAAAGUACUUCAGUGUGGAUCUUUAGUAAACUUAUAAAUAGAAAAUUAAUAAACUAAUUGGAAUAAGCAAACUAUGAAUAACAUAGGAAGAGAGGAUAUUUUUAGUUGCUCAAAGAUUACAAUAGAUGGUUAAUUUGAUCAGCCUUUUUGAGGAAUGUACACUAGACUAACACUCUUCCAAUACAUAGCAGUAAAGCUAACAUGAAGCUGAAGGUGAAUGAUCACUAAGUAGAAUUGCUUCUCAUACUUGGUGGGAUGGUAGUGGUAGAAGAGGCCAGCUAACUGAUUUAUUCCUUACUGUAUCAGGAUUUAAUUACAGAAAGCUGGUUUCUGGUUGGAAGCCAUUUUUAUGGAUGUUUCCAUCUCUGCCUUUGGUGAUAGGUUGACUUAAUCAUGAUGGGAGUAUGUACCAUGGAAUUUGGUAAGUACCAUGUUAAAAUUGGUAAAUGCAGCAAAUUAGGGCAAUCCUCUGUGUCUCACAGAGAAAGCCAGGUUAUCAGUACACCAUCAAUUUUUAACACAUAGUGUACUGAAUCCUCACAUACCCAUCACCUGGCUUCAGUAAUUACCACAUAUAGCCAGUUUUCCCUUUCUGUCUUCCAUUAGCAGGUAAUCAGUAACACUGAAGGCAUAGUGGUUCUCUAGUGUGAUGCCAAUGUCACUCAUUCUGAAUGCCAAACAUUUCUGUCUAGAAGGUUCCUGAAAAAUAAUAGGUCGUAUCUAGAAAGUAAACUUAAUCCCAUAACCAAAAGAUAGGUAAAAAUCAUUAAGGGUGCACUUCUGUGAAUUUACACUGAUAUAGUGGCUCUUGAUUUGCCUAUCAUCUAUUAAGCAACAAUCCUGGUACUUCUAUCUUUGCAUUAAGUGUUACCUGUUAUUUAAUGAACUGCAUUAAUUCCUAUUUUAUAGGUAAGAGAAGGAGCCCUGCAGGCUAAGUAACCUGUUGGUUUGGUUGCCUGUUUUUGUUUUUUUUUUAACAGCAGGGAAGCUAAGAAUGGUUUUCACAUUUUUAAAAUGUGGUUACAUCUUAAGUGGUUUAUAAACACCCACAUAAUUGCCUUGAUUUUGGCUCUUGGCCCCCAAAACAUAUUUACCAUUUGGCUCUUUAAGAAAGUUUACCAAAUUAAAAUUGGUCUAAAUAAUGAAACAAUUUACAUUGAUGAAAAUAUUUCUGUGGCUACUUUUCCUGUUGUUCUUAGAAUGUUUCUUUGAGGUAGAUCAUUUGUUUUAUUCUAGAAUUAUUUAUGUGUUAAGUACCAUUUUACUUUGCAAGUAACACAACUGGAGAAGUUGCUAUUUAUAUUUAGUAAGCAGCAAGAGAAAUACUGUGACCCUGUUUUUGUUCUCCUUGAACUACACAUCAUAUUAAAACACUACGAGAAUAAUAAGUCCAAUGAUCACAUCAAUUUCUUGAGAAUAUUUAAGUAGGGUUUUAAAUGUUUUGAAUAUUUUCAAAGAAGUUGACAAUUUUUAUCACUUAGAACUCUUCCCAGGAAGCAGUUCUUUAAGAACAGAAUUAUGAAUGACAAGUUAAAAAUGCUUUCUAGAAAGUCUUUACUUUUCUGUUAAUGAGUAAUUGCUUUUUUGUAUUAUCCAAAUGAUUUUAUAAAUUUCCUAAUUUUUAUAUGCCUGAGAUCCAUGAAAGUAAAAUUCUUCACCAUAAGAAAAAAAUAGAUACACUAAAGGGCUCUGAUUAAAUUUUAUAUAAUUUUUUAAGGGUGAAUGACUGUAUAUCCUUUCAUUAUUAGGUGGUAGCCUGGUAAAAUUUUUGAAGAAUUUUUAAUGAUUUAUCAUGACGCCACAUUCCAACAAAUUACUUGUUUCCCUAAAGCUGUACCAUGUGUACUGUUUUUGUAAGUUUUGUUUUAAAGUCAGUCUGAUUGUGGUUCUUUUAUAAAGGGAAACUUUAUGCUUUAUGUAAAUUUAUAAAACCCUAGUAUCUUAGUGUCCUGUAAGCUUUAUUCUUGUUGAAAAGUAUAUCAAAUACUGAAACUUAGAAUUUUACUUAACCCUUCAUGGAAUAGAUUUGUGUCAUCAGACCUUUUCUGGUGAUGAAAGCACAGAGUCCUAACAAUUUAGUUAAGUCUUUAGUUGUUUUGUCAUCCUCUUAACUAUUGCAACUUGAACUAGGUAUAUUGCAUUAAUAUGAAAUGCUUUCAAAUACAUAAUCUUUUCUUUAAAAAUGGAAUUUAUACCAAAGAACCUGUACCACCAGGAUGUGGAAAUGACUGGUGUAUAAUAUUUAAAACAUCCAUUUUUGGUCAGCAUAAAUUUCAUUUAAUUUUUUUUCCAUUUCUAGUAGAAUUUCAUUUUGAGGUUUAAUGUUUCAAGUGAGUAUAGCAUUUUACAAUUCAGUAAUCUUGGAUUUCAAGUCAUUAAAGAUGAAAGUGGAAAUGUGAAGUUAAGAAAAUCAGUUUUCAUCUUCUGUAACAUCUAAAUCUUCAUCAUCUGCAUCAUCAUCUUCUGUAUGUUGGUCCUUUCUUAGUCGAGAGGUGGAUACCUGUUAAAAGUGGUUAACACAAUUUUAAAAAUAAAAAAAUUAAAAAUAUUUUUACGUUUGGUAUCUUUAUAUGCCCUUAUAGGAAAGGUUACACAAAACACGCAUUUCAGAAAAAUGUCCAUAUGUCAUUGCUUAAAAAGUUUUAUUUAUUUGAAAGGCAGGGCAACAAGGCCGGGUGAGGGAUAGAGAGAAAGAAAAAAAUCUUCUGUUUGCUGGUUCACUCCCCAGAUGACUACAGUACUGCGAGCUGAACCAGGCUGAAGCCAGGAACCAGGAAUUCCAUUCUGGUCUCCUACAUAAGUGGGUGGCAGGAACCCACAUAAUUGGAUCAUCACUUGUUCUCUCCCAUGGGCAUUACCAGGAAGCUAGAACAGAAGUAGACGUGAGACUUGAUCUCAGGUACUUCGAUAUAGGAUACAAGUGGCAGUGGUGACUGAAGCCACAGUGCCACAGCACUUGCCCCUUAAUCAUUUUUAUUAAUGAAUAUUCCCUAUAAAUUACUAUAUUUUAAGGCUGAGAAAGCCAGUAUUCAUUUUUAUUUUUUGAGUAUAAAUAUGAAAUUAUCUGAUUCCAGUUGACAGUUCCCUGUACUUCAGUAAAAAUAGAUUUUCAGAGAAAAGCAUAGCUUCAUUAUAUGAAAUAUCCUUGAAUCAUAGAAACAGUAUUUGAAUAAAAAUCAUCAAAUGAAUGACAAAAACACAUCAUUUCAGUGAGGUAGUGGGGUAGAAAUAGUAGUAUAAAAGUGAUUUAAGUUGCAGUCCUGACUGUUGGACCUGGGACAUAUGUUGCAUAAAACAUCCCUGAGGAGGAUACUGGGCAAUGUCUGGAGAUACCAGUGGUUGUCCAGAUACCUAAAUUAGCUAAAAUAUGUAUAGCACUUUAGAAUACAUAUCUUAGAUAGAACUUUACAUAUAUGACAUUGUUUGAAUUUAUGUGCAAAGCCUUUAUUGCUGGAAUAAUAAAAAUACAGUUUGGUUAGGAGAAGAGAGAAAUACAAAGAAGAAAUGAAUGCUUACAAGAGAACCAAAUGAAAAAAAAGCAUGGAGUAAAAUUGUAUUUUCAAAGUAUUUUGUUUAAUUCUUACAUAAAAUGUCUUAGCUCUGUUGAUCAAAGUUUGGCAAGUUAUGGCUUAGACUGCUUCCUAUUUUUGUAAGUAACAGUUUUAUUAGAACACAGCCAUAGUGAUUUGUGCGUUAUUUAUAACUGCUCUUAGUUGGGAGCUCUUAGUUGGCCCAUAAAACCUAAGAUAUUCUCUCUGGUCCCUUACAGAAAAAACACUGCUCUGGAUACUAGGUCACUUAGGCUUUAUUGACAGAAUACUGGAGAAAACUGUCUCUCUGUCUAAAGAUAGCUGCUUCUGGAACUAUGAUUAUGUUUAACAAAAGGUCCCUUAUAGGUAUGAUACUCAGAUCCUUUAAAUCUUAUAGUGAAAUUUAAACUUAAGCCAUUUGACCUCAAAAUUUAUUGUCUUAAUAUUAUACUAGACCAUUCUUUCGUCUUCUUUGCUCCCAAGAGUUCUGGUUUUGAGAGUUAAAUGUAAUUAUAAAAGAUGGGAAAUUUCUUAACUGUUGGACCUUGUACAAUCUUCCAUUAUUUUAUAGAAGGUAAGUUAUGUGAGAUCUGAUGACUGAGGGAAAAACAUUUUUAGUACUGAAUAAUUCCUUUAAGAUGGUUUCUAACUUACCUGCCCUGUUCCAGAUACACAUUUAGCUGACAGUGAUCUCUGAAGAGGCGACUUUGAAUUUGCUCUUACGAUAUCUAAACGGGAUGUGUAAUCUGGUGGAUACAGAGAAUUUCGGAAAACCUAUUGCAAUGAUAAGACAACAGUGUAAAAUACAUGCUAAGCAAUGAAAAACUAGAUGGCCAAAUUAAGUGCCUUCUACUUAUUUUUAAGCAACUCCUCCCCAAAAUGGACAAAAUUCUAAUUAUUGUAAAUUUCAAAGAAAAACAAAAAUAAAUUCUAGACUUAAGUUAGAAAGAGGAAAGCCAAAUCCAGUUUGAAUGUGUAAGAUGAUGAGGGAUGUAAACAGUAACUUGUAUGAAAGAAUCACUUGAGUGCGCUUGCCAAAGGAACUGUAGUUCUGACAAGCUAGUGGAGAGGCUGCAACUCAUACCUUUGUAUUCUGCCUAAACUCUUGUAUCACUUUUAAUUUCACUGAAGUACUGCUGUGGAUAAAUCCCAGAAUAAACUGGAGCUGCUAAUUUAAUGGAUUCCACUAGGAUUCGGAAUUUGCAAGUUAUCUAUAAGCUGUAUUUCCAAAUCUUAACUUCAAGUCUGUUUUCUCUUCCUCCAUUUCUUUUAUAUAUAUAGGCUUACAGUAAGGUUAUCAGGUGUGAAUUGCUUCAGUUCCUCUCUUAUUCACACUUUUCAUCCCAUCCUUUUCUUUUUUAAAAAGGCGAGUAUCAUUCUGGUCUUUAAAAAUGUAAAUUUUUCCUUUAUUCAAAAUUUCAAACAAGCAAACAGACUUUCCCAUAGUUCCUUUCUUUUGGAAAACAUGCUCAAUAUCUAAUACCUUUACUCCUUAACUUCUCAGAUAUUCUUCUUGAUUCUUUUUUCAACAAACUACAAUUUGAACUCUCAUUUUGCACUAAAAUUGCUCUUGCAAAAAUUGCCAAAGUCAUCUUUGUCUUCAUCCUCCCUGACCUGGUCCUGAAACCUUUUUCUAUGUCAUCACUUAACUCUUUCAUUUUGCCAGCUGGCCUAUUUUUUCACAUCUCCUUUUCUACUGAUUAUAAUUUAAAUAUUUUUGAAGGUUUUCUCUUAAGCUACUUAGAUAUUCCUCUGAAAGAUCUUACUUGCAGUGUUUAAUGGCUAGCUUUGAACCAAUCCUCUAUACUCCAUAAACUCUCUUGACAGCUGUAUUCAUUCCCAGCUACACCAGCUCUGUCCAAUAGAACUUUGUUAUUUAACCUUAGUAGCCAUACACUUUUAGCUACUUUAUUGGAUGGUGCAGCUCUAGAUUACUUUUACAAAGAUACUAAGGUAGACCAAUUUAUAAACUUAGGCAUUCUCCCUACAUUUAACUGAGGUAUUUAUUUUAGGUCAUAGACUCCACACAUCUUUUUUUUAGCUUGUCUUACUAAAGACCAAAAUAUGUUAUUUCUCUAUUCAAAAACGUUUUGUGGCCCUGUCAAGUCCAAAUGCUUUAGAUGACACCCAGGGCUUAAGCUCGCUCAAAACUAUCCACUACUCUUCUAGCCAACAUACCUAUAUGCAAAGUAUGUUAUACUAUGCCUUUGUAGUGCUGGUUCCUUAAGAGCCAAAUCAAAAUGUUACCUUUUGCUCAGUUCCAACUGUUCAUACCCUCAAGUAUUGCUUUUAUCUCAUUGUUCUGUAACAGAUUACGUAUCUCUCUCUACAACUUAUCUUAAAUUCCUAUAGUACAAGGAGUUCUGGUUUAUCUUUGCAACUCCUAGCUUAAGAUAGCAGCAACUUGGCAAAUAUGUUAAUUCAUUUUUGCCAAAUAAAGGAUGUUAACCCUCAUGUGGUAAGAAAACAAGGCUAUUCAAACAAGAGAAUGUCUCUACAUUCACUGAAACCUUGGAAAACUGCAGGACAUGAAUCAAGGGAUAAAACUCAGGAAGUGAGAUAGGAGUUGUGGGGCAGUUCAGAUACUGAGUAGGUUAACAGACUACUGAAGACCAAAUUAUAUUUUGAGGCUAAAGAUGGAACAGUGACAUCCUAAAAUGAUAUAAAAACUAGAUGAUUCAUUAAAUGGUACUUGGAGAUUCAUUUUUGAUAGAACUUUUAGCUUUUCUAACAAAGAUGAAAUAGUGGAAAAUGGAAGAUAAUAUAUAACCACUGGGAUGAAAAUCUCGACCAGGUUAAAUACUAAACCUAGUGCAAAACAGAUUUACAGGAAUAUUAAUUUAUCGGUAGUAAUGCACUUUCUACUUCUUAUAGCAGUGAAUCUCAAAAUCUAAAUACAUUCUGAAAGGAUUGCACAGAGGUGAUCUUUUGAAGUGAAAAAUGGACCUGAUAGUACAUAAUGUGAAGAAGCAUACAAAAUGGUUUGUGAUAAAACUAAGAGUGUUAGAUUGCAAAAAGCUACUUGCUGCUGAAAUCUCAGCAGCUCUCAUAAAGGAUGGAUUACUUGCAAGGAUAGCAAGUUAUUUCCCUGCCCCUUUCUGCGUGUUUUGUUCACUUGUUUCCAAGAAACUUUGUAUUUACAGGGUCCUUCCUCCUCUUGGUACCUCCUCCACUGACUGCUCUGCUCUCCUCUCUCUAAUUGCUAUAUGGUGUAACUGUUUAUGCCUACGUUUCACUAAAUGUGCCCUGUACUGUGCUGUUUUAAAUAUACCGAUCUUUAUUCAUGACGGUCCUGUCUCACAGCCUUUGUGUGUCUGUGUCCUCUGUCUGAAAGCUUUUGCUAGAUAUCUUCCUAUUCCUCAAGAUUUUAAUUAAGAAAUCAUUUUUUUUGAUUCUGUCAACUAUUUGUGACACAUACAAUGAAUCUCCCCCCAUUCUAAUUAAGACAUCAUUUUUUGAUUCUCCUAUUUGUAACACACAAAAUUUCUCUUGGUUUUACUCACACACACACACACCAAGCAUACUUUUUUCUUUAUGGAAGUAGUCAUAUCAAACUUAGUUACGUAGUACUUUUUAAAAUGUCAACUCACUGGUACAUUAAAUUUCUGCUUUGAAAGUUUGGCUCAUUUCUCACAACAGUAAAUCCUCAGCACUCAGACUGGUGUCUAGCAUGUAACAGGUGCUCAAUAAAUAUUGAACCAGCCAUAUUAUGAGGUAAAUACUAUAAUCUUCAUUUUAGAGAAAAAUAAUCUGAAUUGUGAAGAAGCUCAGUAUUUUUCUACUAGAAUGGGAGAAGUUGAUGUUAAAAAACACAUUUACCACCCAGCCCUGAGAUCUUCAGUUUUUCAUAGAUCUCCCACAAACUACCUGGCCAGUGGAUUAUAAGUAAUGAUAAGACAAGUUACAAAGGAGGUGCUGUGAUAGAAACGAUGUCUAAGCUCUGGAAUGAGAAAGAAAAUCUUGGGGACCACAUGGCUUGAAAGAACUUUAUUAUCAAUUAACAAAUGGCCUAUCAAGGGUAUUAGAGUAAGGAAGAAAAUACUUGAAAAGGGCCCCAGAGAGGGAUCACUUUUGAACCUGUCAUGAAAUACAGUGUUAUUUCUUGUAGGAAAUGGUUCAUGUGACCCAUUAAAAGCCAUACUUCUGGCAGUCUCAUGUAUAAACAGAGCACGGAAGGAAACAUGAAUUACCCUGACUUGAUCAGUAUGCACUGUAUACCUUUAUUAAAACAUCACAAUGUACCCCAUAAAUAAGUACAGUUAUUAAAUGCUAAAGAUUUUAAGAAGUAUUUAAGGAAAUGAAAAUGCUAACCUGGUUGGAUUUUCAUACAUAAAAUGAAAAAAUAAUCUCCAUAGCACUGUAUUCUCACCUUUGAAUUUGACUGUCAACUCUGCUCUUUACAAGCUAUGAGACCUCUGGGAAAUCUCUUAAGCUUACUGUGCAUCAGUUUUCUCAUCCACAGGAUGAAGACAGUAAGUACUUUUUAAUCAAACUUUAUUGCAGGAUGAAAACAAUUAUCUUGGUUAAAAUUUUUAGAUUGGUAGCUGGCCCAAAGCAUUUAGUAUUAUAAAUAUUUAUUAUUUUACUACUUUACAAAUGGCAGCUAAAUGCCUGAUAAUCCAUUUUUUAAAAGAUAAAGGAAUGAAAAUUUAGAAGCCAGCUUUAGUAUCUGGAAGGAAAGGACACUUAGCAAGUCAUCUGUUGACCAAGAGAAAAUACAAAUGUAAUCUUGUGUAUAUAACUGUCAUAAAAUGCAAAUCAGAGUUUGUCAUUGGAAACAUAUGCAAUAUACACAUUCAAACGUACCUUGAUUUUAAGCUACAUUCUGGUUUUAUAAUGAUUAAGUUCCCUGGACCAGUGAAGUAAUGGGACAAGAAGGUGCAGAGGAUCACUCUUAAUAGCCUGUUUCUCUAGUUGUAAAAUGAGAAUAUAGUUUGAUAGACCUUUUUUGAAAUGCUUGGGGCCAGAAAUGUUUUAGAGUUUGGAUUAUUUUUUUCAGAUUUUGGAAUAUGUACAGACUUUAGAUACCUAAUUCAAUUUGAAAUCCAAAAUGUUCUAAAAUAUGAAAAGAGAAUUUUGACAGAAAGUUUUGUUUUGGAACAUUUUAAAUUUCACACUAGGGAUGCUUAACCUGUAAUGGUAUGCACAUACCUCUUAGGAUAGUGUGAUGAAUUGAGAAAAUACAUGUAUAGAAAGUACAUAAAGAGAAAAACAUAUAAAGCAUUUGAGCGCUGUGCAUGUCAUCAACAUUCAAAUGUUGCUAAAGUCAAAUACUAGUUAACUGUUAGCGCACUUUUGUGGGGCUUCUAUCACCAGUCAAAAUGGUAGAAUUUUAUUUCAUGUAAUGGUCUUAUAUAGACAGUAUUUUACUAGCUAUAUUAAAUUAACUCUUGGAUCUUUUACUAUGGUUUAUUUUAAAAGUUAAAAUGUAAGUAAAUAAAAAACAUAGCUAUUUGGGACUGUAAACCAUAAUAUAGGAACGUUGUAGUACUCUAAUUUACGAUUUUUGUUACCCAUACAAACUAAACUAACUACAAACUAAUCUCAUAUUAACAGAAGAACAGAGGGAGCUUAGACAGACAUAGUCCUACCUCUAAAUCUUCAUCCUCAUCAAUCUUCUGUAUAUUUUGGUAGGCAGCAGUGUAGACCUCUAAUGCUUUGCCGUGAAAUAACAUUUCGAUUGUGAUAAACUCUGAAAAUAUAGUCUUAAAAAAUUCAGAUUUAAACAAUUUUAUAAGUUGUUUUAUGAAUUCAGUAAAUUUCACUUUUAUGAAAUGCAGAAAAAUUUUUUUCUAGAAGGCAAAUAAAGCACAAAAAUUAAAAUAGUUGCAAAGACCUUUUGCAGCGAAACCUUCAAAUUAUGCAAUGUAUAUCCUAUGUCACUAUUUACUCUUAAUUCUCUACAUACCCUGUAAUUGACAUUUGUAAUAAUAAAAGAUCAAGGGUUGGUAUUAUGGCACACCAGGUUAAGCUGCUGCCUAUGACACAAGCAUCCAGUAAGAUUGCUGGUUUGAGCCCAGCUGCUCCACUUCUGAUCAAGCACCCUGUUAAUGUUCCUUGGAAAGAAGAGAAAGAUGGCCCAAGUGCUUGGGCCCCACCACCCACAGGGAAGACCAUACCACAUGGCUGUAAGUUUUAGUUUUAGAGCAGUGCAGUCCUGAAGUUGGUAGCUGAGCUACUCCAGGUAUUAAAGCAAUAGAACUUUUUUUUAGAUUGGAAUUAGGUUCCAUCAUAUUUCUGAUUAUAUGUUAUCUUUAUUCUCUAAACAAAGGAACUACUUGGUGGUAAUGAUGAUGAUACCACUGAUUAUGGCAUCUGCAUAGAGUUUUGCAGUUUGCAAAUGCAUGCUUUGCCCAGUGUUCAUCACAGCCAGAAUGUUGAGAUGUGGAUCUGAUUCUAAGGUUAUAGUUAUGGCUCUUGCUCACUAAGAGCUAUAGAUUAUAGCUCUUGCUCUUUGUACUGUGCUGUUGUUAAAGUCAUCAUUUCUUUCAGAAACUGAAGGUAACCUCUAUGAACACGAUGAAAACUUAAGGAAGAUUAUGAGCCAAAAGAUAAUGCAACAGGGUGAGAUGAUUGGUAGUCAGACAGGAUAGAAACCAGACGAGCUUUUAGUAAAUAUACUCUUAUCUUUUGAAUUAUUGCCUCUUGGAAAAUAAAAUGUCCAAGCAUUAAUAUGGAAUGAACUGGAAUGAGUAAGAACAAGGUAGAAAGUAAGUAUUGUCUUUAAAGCUACAAUGGAAAAGGUGGAUUAGGCUAGAAGGCAAUAGUCAAAUACAUGUUUCCCUUCAUCUCUGCACUCCUGAGAUAUUCAUCAAGCAAGGAGUGGUCAUGUGCUUUGGAACAUAACCAUACAGCUAUCCAUUAGUGUCCUGUGAUUCUUUUCUCCAUCUUGUUUCUUAAACAAAUAUUUGAGUCUUCUGAUUGCUGCUUGAGGGGAAAGAGAUCCAUAACUGAAAAUACCCUUUGUCACCAAGCAAAUGUCAAUCUGAUUAAGAUAUUGAGCUCUGAGAUAAGAGAUUUGUAACUGAUAGUGAGCCUUCCUGUCACUUUAUAUAAUGUCACAGAGGGCUCUGGUAUACUGGACUGGCAACUGACUGUUUACCAAGGUAACAAUUUUGGAGGUGGGCAUUUGGUGUAGUGGUCAAAGUGCUGUUUAGGAUGCAUGCAUCCCUUAACAGAGUGCCCAGGACUCUGCUUCCAGUUCCAUCUUCCUGCUAAUGCACACUGGUGAUUAUCAGCAAGUGAUAGCUCACAUAGUUGGGUUCCUGCCACCCACAUGAAUGACCUGGAUUGAGCUCCAGGCCUCAGCCUGGCCCAGCAUUGGAUGUUGCAGGUAUUGGGAGGGAACUAGUGAAUGGGAGACUUUUUCUAUGUUUGCUUUUCCAAAAGAAAAAAUAUAUAUAAACAGAAAAAGAGGGAUACAAUUUUGGAAAUAUAUUAGAGCUAGAACAGUUUCUGGCCCAGACUAUGACUACUUUCCUUAGUUGUCAGCCUAAGAUAGUUGCUAACCAAAAAGAUGUCAGGAGCUCUCUAGGAGUGUGGAAACUCCAUGGAAAAGAGCAGCAGGAGGCAUCAAUUACAAACCAAAACAUCUAUUUUUUAAUACUCAAGAAAUAAAACAGCUAAAUGAGAAAAUGUCCUUUUAGUUUAAAUGUCCAUUUAAACUUUGAUUAACAAGCAAGAUAUUUAAUAAAAGAACUGUAAAAUGUCAAUAUUUUGGUAAAUAGGGGGAAAUGACAGCUUUUUAGAGUAGAGGCUAUUCAGUAAAGGAUUUCAUAACUUUAUCCAUUUGGAAAUAAUAUGGUUACAUAUUUACUUCAUGCCAAAUGAAAAAUAAUUGCUAGAAAAAAAAAACAUUUAAAUGUUUGAGAUAAUUCAAAAAUACUAGAAGAAAUGUUUUAGGCCGGCGCCGCGGCUCACUAGGCUAAUCCUCCGCCUUGCGGCGCUGGCACACCGGGUUCUAGUCCCAGUCGGGGCGCCGGAUUCUGUCCCGGUUGCCCCUCUUCCAGGCCAGCCCUCUGCUGUGGCCAGGGAGUGCAGUGGAGGAUGGCCCAGGUGCUUGGGCCCUGCACCCCAUGGGAGACCAGGAUAAGUACCUGGCUCCUGCCAUCGGAUCAGCGUGGUGCGCCGGCUGCAGCGCGCCGGCCGCGGCGGCCAUUGGAGGGUGAACCAACGGCAAAGGAAGACCUUUCUCUCUGUCUCUCUCUCUCACUGUCCACUCUGCCUGUCAAAAAAAAAAAAAGUUUAAAAA